GAACGCUUCUUUCCUCCCGAGUGCUUGCACUCAAUUGGAAAGAGGAGUGGCGGACGGGUGAGUAACACGUGGGUAACCUACCCAUCAGAGGGGGAUAACACUUGGAAACAGGUGCUAAUACCGCAUAACAGUUUAUGCCGCAUGGCAUAAGAGUGAAAGGCGCUUUCGGGUGUCGCUGAUGGAUGGACCCGCGGUGCAUUAGCUAGUUGGUGAGGUAACGGCUCACCAAGGCCACGAUGCAUAGCCGACCUGAGAGGGUGAUCGGCCACACUGGGACUGAGACACGGCCCAGACUCCUACGGGAGGCAGCAGUAGGGAAUCUUCGGCAAUGGACGAAAGUCUGACCGAGCAACGCCGCGUGAGUGAAGAAGGUUUUCGGAUCGUAAAACUCUGUUGUUAGAGAAGAACAAGGACGUUAGUAACUGAACGUCCCCUGACGGUAUCUAACCAGAAAGCCACGGCUAACUACGUGCCAGCAGCCGCGGUAAUACGUAGGUGGCAAGCGUUGUCCGGAUUUAUUGGGCGUAAAGCGAGCGCAGGCGGUUUCUUAAGUCUGAUGUGAAAGCCCCCGGCUCAACCGGGGAGGGUCAUUGGAAACUGGGAGACUUGAGUGCAGAAGAGGAGAGUGGAAUUCCAUGUGUAGCGGUGAAAUGCGUAGAUAUAUGGAGGAACACCAGUGGCGAAGGCGGCUCUCUGGUCUGUAAC
Molecule: ribosomal RNA, 705 nt
Filed under: uncultured Enterococcus sp.
Lineage: Bacteria; Bacillati; Bacillota; Bacilli; Lactobacillales; Enterococcaceae
Description: bacterial SSU rRNA
Rfam family: Bacterial small subunit ribosomal RNA
Source: RNAcentral